Physeter macrocephalus (sperm whale) is the source of this 638-nucleotide long non-coding RNA. RefSeq lists it as uncharacterized. Lineage: Eukaryota; Metazoa; Chordata; Mammalia; Artiodactyla; Physeteridae. The record is from RefSeq and is a predicted model, not a curated record. The transcript has 3 exons.
UCUUCCACGUGGAGAGCGCAUCCUCUCUACCACAGCUCCAGCCGGCUCCUCUCUGGAGACGCCUCUUUCCUAGGAGCAGCUUGGAACCUCAGACAACUCCGCUCUCCUCCUGCUGCACCUCAGCUCAUCACACCCUCCUCUGGGGUGCCUCAACUCUCUUAAGAGAUGAACGGUGGUAGAGUUCACCUGUAAAGCCCUUCAAGCUGGACGUUAUGGCUACCAUUCCAUCACCUCCUCAAGCACAAGGUCACGGCUGAAGUUAAGGGUACAGAGGUGGCCCCUGGUUAUCUUCAGAGCCCAAUACCAGCCUAGGAUUGCUUCCUUUGCAGCUAUGCUUAUACGAGAGGGAAAUGAAAGUUCUAUUUUGUUCAAGCCUAUCAUAUCGUCUCUUUCUGAUAGUUCUAGCACUGAAGUUCUUAAAUGUGUACCUUACCAUUUAUUUUAUCUGAUUCAAGUUGAAGACACAUAGUUUCCUCCAACAUUUUGUAAUUUUUGACAGUGAGCUCAGCAUUCAAAGAUAUUUUAUCUGUAUAUACCCUACAGUUCUUGAAUGAGGGUGUGUCCUUCCUCCAAAAUUGUACAUGCUUCUGUCAGGUGUCCAGGGCAACUCACUGGCACGAGACCACUUUUUAUAUUAU